RNAcentral lists this ribosomal RNA (253 nucleotides) under uncultured bacterium. Its description in RNAcentral is "partial 16S ribosomal RNA". It matches the Rfam family "Bacterial small subunit ribosomal RNA", at positions 524 to 776 of the family's 1533-position model. The record is from RNAcentral.
UACGUAGGGUGCAAGCGUUGUCCGGAAUUAUUGGGCGUAAAGAGCUCGUAGGCGGUUUGUCGCGUCUGCUGUGAAAACUCGGGGCUUAACUCCGGGCCUGCAGUGGGUACGGGCAGACUAGAGUGCGGUAGGGGAGACUGGAAUUCCUGGUGUAGCGGUGAAAUGCGCAGAUAUCAGGAGGAACACCGGUGGCGAAGGCGGUUCUCUGGGCCUUACCUGACGCUGAGGAGCGAAAGCGUGGGGAGCAAACAGG